This 253-nucleotide ribosomal RNA is filed under the name uncultured bacterium. Its description in RNAcentral is "partial 16S ribosomal RNA". It matches the Rfam family "Bacterial small subunit ribosomal RNA", at positions 524 to 776 of the family's 1533-position model. The record is from RNAcentral.
GACAGAGGAGGCGAGCGUUAUCCGGAGUUAUUGGGCGUAAAGGGUACGUAGGCGGCUGGUCAAGUCUGGGGUUAAAGACCACAGCUUAACUGUGGAGGGGCCUUGGAAACUGACGGGCUGGAGUGGGGCAGGGGUUGCGGGAAUUCCCGGUGUAGCGGUGAAAUGCGUAGAUAUCGGGAAGAACACCUGAGGCGAAAGCGCGCAACUGGGCCAUAACUGACGCUGAGGUACGAAAGCUAGGGGAGCGAAUGGG